RNAcentral lists this ribosomal RNA (522 nucleotides) under uncultured bacterium. RNAcentral describes it as "bacterial SSU rRNA". It matches the Rfam family "Bacterial small subunit ribosomal RNA", at positions 1 to 526 of the family's 1533-position model. The record is from RNAcentral.
AUUAGAGUUUGAUCCUGGCUCAGGAUGAACGCUGGCGGCGUGCUUAACACAUGCAAGUCGAGCGAAGCGGUUUCAAUGAAGUUUUCGGAUGGAAUUGAAAUUGACUUAGCGGCGGACGGGUGAGUAACGCGUGGGUAACCUGCCUUACACUGGGGGAUAACAGUUAGAAAUGACUGCUAAUACCGCAUAAGCGCACAGGGCCGCAUGGUCUGGUGUGAAAAACUCCGGUGGUGUAAGAUGGACCCGCGUCUGAUUAGGUAGUUGGUGGGGUAACGGCCCACCAAGCCGACGAUCAGUAGCCGACCUGAGAGGGUGACCGGCCACAUUGGGACUGAGACACGGCCCAAACUCCUACGGGAGGCAGCAGUGGGGAAUAUUGGACAAUGGGCGAAAGCCUGAUCCAGCGACGCCGCGUGAGUGAAGAAGUAUUUCGGUAUGUAAAGCUCUAUCAGCAGGGAAGAAAAUGACGGUACCUGACUAAGAAGCCCCGGCUAACUACGUGCCAGCAGCCGCGGUAAUAAU